GCUCAGAGUGAACGCUGGCGGUAGGCCUAACACAUGCAAGUCGAACGGCAGCACAGUAAGAGCUUGCUCUUAUGGGUGGCGAGUGGCGGACGGGUGAGGAAUACAUCGGAAUNUACUUUUUCGUGGGGGAUAACGUAGGGAAACUUACGCUAAUACCGCAUACGACCUACGGGUGAAAGCAGGGGAUNUUCGGACCUUGCGCGAUUGAAUGAGCCGAUGUCGGAUUAGCUAGUUGGCGGGGUAAAGGCCCACCAAGGCGACGAUCCGUAGCUGGUNUGAGAGGAUGAUCAGCCACACUGGAACUGAGACACGGUCCAGACUCCUACGGGAGGCAGCAGUGGGGAAUAUUGGACAAUGGGCGCAAGCCUGAUCCAGCCAUACCGCGUGGGUGAAGAAGGCCUUCGGGUUGUAAAGCCCUUUUGUUGGGAAAGAAAUCCAGCCGGUUAAUACCUGGUUGGGAUGACGGUACCCAAAGAAUAAGCACCGGCUAACUUCGUGCCAGCAGCCGCGGUAAUACGAAGGGUGCAAGCGUUACUCGGAAUUACUGGGCGUAAAGCGUGCGUAGGUGGUUGUUUAAGUCUGUUGUGAAAGCCCUGGGCUCAACCUGGGAACUGCAGUGGAAACUGGGCAACUAGAGUGUGGUAGAGGGUAGCGGAAUUCCCGGUGUAGCAGUGAAAUGCGUAGAGAUCGGGAGGAACAUCCAUGGCGAAGGCAGCUNCNGGNCCA
This 726-nucleotide ribosomal RNA is filed under the name Stenotrophomonas chelatiphaga. RNAcentral's name for it is "bacterial SSU rRNA". It matches the Rfam family "Bacterial small subunit ribosomal RNA", at positions 22 to 736 of the family's 1533-position model. The record is from RNAcentral. Lineage: Bacteria; Pseudomonadati; Pseudomonadota; Gammaproteobacteria; Lysobacterales; Lysobacteraceae.